AACUAUAUGUUUUAAUAUAUAGCUGUUCUGCUCAAUGGUACAUCUAAAUAGCCGCAGUACUCUGACUGUGCAAAGGUAGCAUAAUCAGUUGGCUUUUAAUUGGAGUCUGGAAUGAACGAAAGCAUGGGUAGCAACUGUCUCAAUAUAAUAUUUUAUUGAAAUUGGUAUGCAAGUGCAAAAACUUGCUAUAAUAAAAAAGACGAGAAGACCCUAGAAACUUCUAAUAUUAUUUUGUUGGGGCGACAGAAUUACAUAUAACUAAUUUUAUAGUACAUGACGUUAUUCAGGAAGAUAAAGUUACUCUAGGGAUAACAGCAUAAUUUUUCAGUUUGUGACCUCGAUGUUGGACUAGGUAUAUAAUUUUUUAGAAGAAAAUUAAUAAAGCUCUGUUCGAGCAAUUAAAACCUACAU
This 411-nucleotide ribosomal RNA is filed under the name Atlasica sp. XX2. RNAcentral's name for it is "partial 16S ribosomal RNA". It matches the Rfam family "Bacterial large subunit ribosomal RNA", at positions 1830 to 2601 of the family's 2925-position model. Lineage: Eukaryota; Metazoa; Mollusca; Gastropoda; Stylommatophora; Helicidae. The record is from RNAcentral.